This 236-nucleotide long non-coding RNA is filed under the name Solanum tuberosum (potato). Its description in RNAcentral is "long non-coding RNA (STUB_LNC010452)". Lineage: Eukaryota; Viridiplantae; Streptophyta; Magnoliopsida; Solanales; Solanaceae. The record is from RNAcentral.
UCUUCCUGAACAAGGAUAGAAAAAGCUUGGGCCAUAGUAGGUAGUGGGUUCAUCAUCAAUAUGCUUCCUCUCACAAUAGUAUAUACCUCAUUUAGUCCCAUGAGGAACUGUAUUAGUCUCCUGUCAAGUUCAGCUUUGUGCAUCUUCGACUUUCCACCACAUGUGCACAAACAUGUGCAUUGUGAAUUGGUGUCCAAAGUGCUAAGCUCUUCCCACAACUUCUUUAUCCUGGUGUA